GUCAUUCAUUAUGCAAGGUCUCUAUGUACGUCUUCAUUAUUCCCACAUUUUCCCAUUAGAAAAAUGUCUUUUGAGCUUUGAUGUAAACCAUAUUAAAACAUUUCUCAACUUAGAGUUUCCCUGCUGUUGUUUGAACUACAUAAUGAUCAGAUCAACAGAUAUGAAUUUUAUUAAAUGUGUCAUAGUUUAGUUUUAUCUCAUCUUGAUAUGUUGCUUUUGGUGAAAUUGUGCUCAGGUUCUUGGUUUCGUAAUGAUUAGAGCUGCCUGGAAUAGCUGCUGUUGGGCUACUAACCGUAUAAUCAUUCUAACCAAGUCGUAGAGAUUUUCUCCGUGUUUGGUUUCCUCUCACAUGCUACACACAUUUGCAUAAUUCUUAAUUAUUUUCGCUUGUUUUCUAUCAUUCAUGCUACAGAAAUUAUGAUCAACGUACAGUGUUCUUACUCUAACUAGACAUGGGAUGGCUCAUCUUAUGUAAAGGUGUCAUGUGCUGUAGUAGUGCUUGGAAAUGCAUUUUGUUACCUUUAUUUAUUAUCUGUAACCUGCUUUUUCACUAUAAUGGCUUCUGCUUUGAUGUGCCGUGUCCUGGCAACAGCGGAGGAGACCACAGUGAAAUCUCCAACCCAAGCUUCUGCUGUUGCUGCUGCUGCAGCCGUGUCCUCACAGUCCAAGCCUCUGGCUGCUGGGCCUGCUGAUCACCAAAGACAAUGGAUUUUUGGAUUAACUGCUGCAAGAGCUUCUGUUUCUCAAGCUCCUAGACCUCCACCUCCCCCAGUUCCUUUAAAGAGACGCACCAGGUCUGCUGUAAUUUCCAGCCCUCCUGGAGGAGCCUCUCUUCAUAGGCCCCUUGCAUCCAGUCAGUUGAAACCUCCAGCUCAAGCCACUGACCCCCCACAUGCAGCACAUCAACCCAGACACGUACCUCCACCUGAACCUAGUCACCCUCGACCUCCAGCCUCCUUCCACAGGGCUUCAGGUCAUCGCAGUUCCAAGACCUCUCUGGGGUUUAUCUCAACCCCUUUGAGGAAAAGGCCAAAUGGAAGAAGACGUCCAGUUGCCACCAGAGUACCACCCAGGGUGGAGGUUCACAUCACAAAACCUGCAGUCCCAACAACCGAACCCAUAUCCACUGCCAGGCCCACAUACACACAGACAAGUGGAUUUAAAUACACAGCUGGACUGAAAACCACAAUGCGUAUGUUGGGAUUCGCAGCUCAUCCAACUGGUCGCCUAAAUCCUACAUCACCACCGACUGCCAUGAAGGAGACCGCCUCAACCACUGAAGACUCAAAACCCCUUCGACAAACUGGGGUUUCAGCCUCGUCACAGGGGUCAUCUCCAUGGCGACAUAAAGGUGAGGCAUUAGACACAAAGGAGUUCUCUCCAGCUGUCGGGGCAGCACCCCUGGCAUCAUCUUCAUCCUCGCUGUUGUCAUCGGCAUCAGUGCUUAGCAACAGAAUGAACAAGCCUGUGGCGUCACAGUGGUCGCUACUGAGCAUGAGCAGUGGGGAAAACCAAACGACUGCUAUGGGAAGCUGGACAGAUCCUCUGGAGCCACUGGGCAAUGAGUAUUCUUCAGGUUCUGAGAUGUUUGUGUAUGAUCUGACUGAGCUUGUGGAAGAGGGCAGUGCUUUCAGCUUGUACGAAUUUGAUGCUGCCUACUCUCUGGAAGAACCCACCACUAGUCCUGAUGGCAAAAACGAACAGUCAUUCAACGAAUCAGAUCCUCACGGUGCUUCCGUUCCUGUCACACACCCUUUAACUGCUUCUGAGGGAGGAAGGGAAUAUUCUCUCACCCAAGCACAUUUCCACGAUGACUCAGAAAGUCUGUCGAGUGACUCCGCAGCAGAGAGCAAGCUUUUUCUAGAGCACUCACAGGGUAGAUUGAUGCCAGAAACAGUUACAUCCCUCCGCACUCUUUCUCCAACCUACUACGCGUUUCCAAACAACACUAGUUCAAGUGGACAGAAGCUGAAGGAAAGUUCCUACACACAAGCUGCCACAGAACAACUGACUUUUCAGCCAUCUCUCCUUAUUCCCUCCCUUUCAUCCUUGUUCUUCAUACAGCCAACUCCCCCUUCGCCCAUGAUACCACUGAGCCCCUCUGCUCUCCUUGCAGAGGAGGUUUUCACAAAGCAGAUCUUUCCUUCUUCAGUGCCACAGAUGGAACACAAGGCCCAGAUAUCCAUUUCUUCACUCCCGUUAAACCCAAUGGGCAGUGUGUACGAGGUCGACAUUACUGGAAGAGAUGUUGGACUUCCAGCAGCCAAAAAUUGGCAGAUAAACAAUUUAUAUCCAAGUACUAACUUAUUUCCACAGAUACAUUCGUCUACAGACUUUUCCCCCCAUAGACUUUCUCCUGCUUUUCCCAAAACUUCUUCUUUUGGCAUCUCUCACCACUCCAUCCUUCAUCUUAUUCUCCCCUCUCUUCCCUCCCUGUCAGCUCCCUUCACCUCCUCUCAUGCUAUCAAUCUGUCUCCUUCAUCACCCGUCUCCCCCACUGGCGUUUCUCCCCUGUACUCAAAUACCCUCACUCCUCUCUCAACCUCACCUCCCUUCUGGGUCACUGCUGUUCCUCUUCCACCCUCUGCUGCUCCUCAGCAGCCCUCCCUCUUUAGACCUUCCUCUUCCCCGCAGGCAGAGCGAAGAAACCCAGAAACAGACGGUGUUGUUGAAUCCGCUCAUGUUCCACAGUCAGACAGUGCUAGCGAGAACUCUCAGCCCUCUGUGUUGUCAUUUCCGUCUCCAUCCUCGAACCUUCAAAGAGACUUUGAGGCCACAGUGGCUGACACAGCAUCUUUGUUGUCACUUCCUCCCUUUUAUGAAGCCUUGACUGAGUCUCAGAUGGCAGAGGUUGAUGGUGCAGUGCUCCAUGCAGAAAAGUCUUCCAACAAUAUAUCUGAACCUUUCAAAAGUCAAUCCCUUGAUGCUCAAUCAAGUCAGAUUAGCCCCUCUGGAUCAUCUGUAGAUAAUUUGGCAUCUGUUUCCAGCAACAUCUUAUCAGAUUUACCAGCUCUGGCAGCCCAUUUGGUGUUGCCAGAGUUGAAUUCAUCUGCAGUUUUGAGGCCUUCCUCAGAUGCAGUUGGUCUGUCAGUCAGUCAGCUCUCAGCUCAUUCUGGUCAGAGAGAUGUGAACGGGUCACGUCCAGCUCAUCACUCUGAUGCUAGCUUUACCUCACUGCCAACAGCUGGCAUCUGGGCCUCCGAACACACCCUGGCUCUGCUGCAAGCAAAUAUUGAUAGAAAGCAAGAUUUACGCUCUGCUUCUUUGUCAGCCACUUCUUCAUCAUCUUCGCAUAUCGUUUUUUCAACUCAGGCCAUCCUUCGCCGUGACAACCCAUCACUCACUGUGUCUGCAGAAACUCUUUUUACAACCAGGGUGACAGAGAGGAUGAUAGGUGAGGAAACUGCACUGCCUUCCUCCUCACCCCCUCCUCAUCCUGUCGCUGACAACCCUCUUCUCUUGGCUCAGACAUCUUCAUCUGGGUCGCAAGACAGAUAUACUUCCAGUCUGACCUUUAAUAGAGAUCCAUUGAGCCUGCAGCAUACAAUCUCUCAUUUGCACAUCCAGAGGAGCACAAAUGCAGCCCUGGGUGCUCAAAGUAACUCCAGAGGCUUGCAGGCACUUGUUGACUAUGACAGCACAGUUAAUCACCCCACUUCCCCUUUGUUGGAUCCAUCUGUCACAGUGCCAGCCCAGACGCCGUCACUCCACAGCGGCCUGAGUGCACAGCUUGGCGGUGCAGCCCCCCAGCAUGCUUCAGGGCCGGAUUUUACACAGCACUCGGGCUUGACACAAGCUUACAGUGAACACCCCAGCAGUGCGAUCCACGCACACACUUCAGCGCACACACACUUCGAGGACACGAGUCAGAGAUUUGCAGAGGCGCAUGUUAAUGUCAAGGGGCUGCAGCAGCAAUCAUCCCACUUUCUUUCCUUUGCACCAGCCUCCCCUCUCCUUUCACCCUCCAUUUUGCCUUCUCUUUCUCCUGUUUCCUCUAUUUACCUUUCUCACAUCAAUCCUGCAAUCUCUACCCCUGUAACCAUGUCCUCAUUUCCCCUCUCAUCUUUCUCCACUCCUUCUCUCCCUUCACUCCUCCCCAGCCGGCCGGUGUUGCCAGCAGUAUCUGCCAGCCUGACAGACGCAGAAAUUGGCUUUUUGUCGCCCACUUGGCCGACUGCUGGAGUCAACCAGCCCACAACAACCCAAUCCCCCCUGGACAAAUAUUUACAGUUCUCACAAAGACCCACCACAUACCCCAUUAGUCAGUCAACAGAGUCAGUAGAGCAGUUCAUCCCAGACAGCCCAGCUUCUACACUCCCUGAUGACAAACUGAAAUCCAGCCACUCACAAACUCCUGCUUCCCCUGAAGUGGAUGACAAGGAUGGUGUUUUGCCACAGUCUGCUGACAAUUCACAGACAGUCGAAGCUUCCGGUUUUGAUAGUGGUUCAGUUUUGUCACCCGAGGCCGCAAGUAACCGCAGUGCUGCUGGGAAAUCGUCACAUCUCUCUGCUGUGUUUGAUCCUGCAGACGUUGUUCCAAAGAUACAUAUUGCAGCCGAAGAAGUCUCUGCUGUAGAACUGGCUUCUUCAGCUGUGAGCAACGAUGACAAUGUAACUCUGGAUGUGAUGUUAAAAGGUGUAACAAGCCAUCAGCCUAAUGAAGGUCUGAACACUGAAUCAUUUCCUGCUGAGGUACAAACUACCUCUCCCUGCCCCACUUCUGAACCCAGUUAUCAGCCUAGCUCUGCAAUAUCACAACAGCCAACUGGUGCUUCGGUUAUUCCAAACCCCCUGCACUCUUCUGGCCUUAAUAUCCCCUCUUCCACUCAAGCCUCCAGAUCUCCCACUGGUUUCUCUAUCGAUGCCCCAAAUCACGACUUCCUUUCUGGGCCUGAAUUGCUCCCACUUCCUGCGAAUGACAAUCACACUGCGGGCUUGAAAUACAUCUCCACGUCAAAUGCAACCACUAUUAUCCCACUCAAAGACUCUCCUUCAGGGGCAGUUGAAAUGAAAACCAACACAAAGACUACGAACGCUACGACCUUCAUAGAUAAUGCAAAUCUAGAAGCAUCUCAGGGGAAUGUGACAGGCAACAAACUGAUCCCAGAUCCCAGUGAGAAUGCAGGCACAUCGGCAAAGUCAAAUCUAACCGUUUCAAAGCUGAGUUUGAACUCAAACCCAAGCAUGUCGAAUCACAGCGGGGAUCAGAGCUCGGGAGGUUUUGUAAAUGGGGCCCAGGACCACAGUGGCAACAAUGUCAAAGACGAAAAUAUCAACUUUUCCCCUGUGCCACCUGUAGUUGUCGAUGUUCACCAUUUUCUAACCACAAAGAACUCCUCUCCAACGGCUCCAUUCAAAGCAGUCAGUGGGUCAGUGAACAAUGGCAACAGCAGCGGCCUUAAAAAGGCCACGGCGUACCCUACUCCCGGAUCCCCAACUGUAGCUGCCAAGCCAUGCCAAUGUAAACAACGCUUUCAUUUUACAUGUCUGUGUGGACUGUCAUCGGGGAACAGUAUGUCAUGCAGUAACAAAAAACUGUAGAUGUAGAAAAAGAAAUCCAUAAUUAUAUUAGUAUGCACUCUUAAAAAAAUAAUCAUUACAGUAUUUUUGCAUUGAGUUUUAAAGUCUGUAUAAUUGAAGUGUUUUGCAAGAAAAUAACUGAGCGAUAAUAGACACUUCAUGGCUUCGAAACAAAGUUCUAAUAUUAGCAGUCCAUUUGGCCAUUAAUUCUACUGUACAUAAAACAAACAUGAUUUUAAGACUCAAUACAUAAUUGAAGUAGUCUUUAAGGUGGUUGGGUUUUGCAGUGUGGUAGCUGAGUAUUAGUUUUCGGGAAUACGUAGGUUCAGUAGUUCUGUUUGCAAGGAAAUCCCUGUCAAUCAUGUGAAUAAGUGGGAUGCCAACGGAAGUGAAGGCUGGUGAUGGGUUUGUCAUGAUUCUGAGUCAAUUUUAGGACAUUAACAUGGAGUGUAGUUGUCUAAUCAAAUUGUAGUAUUUAGUGUGGUACUCGUAGUUCAAACAAAGACAGUGUUGUGUUUCGCCUCACUGUCUGUCUUUUACCUUUCUCUUUUACCUGUACAAUAUCCACUUCUAAGACUUUGGAUAUCUCUUCUCAUUUCUUUCAUCUUCUAAACUGUCACCCCCUUUUUAACACUUUUCUGAGGCUUUCGAUCCAUUGAGCUUCCUGGUCGAGACAUCCUGCUCUGCUGCUUCUACUCUCAGACAGUAAAUAAUAGACUCCUCAUCUGCAUUUCACAGACUGCGGUGAAAUCCAGUCGAAACUUUUGCAACGACCAGCUGCUUCGUAAACCUCAGGAAACAAACAAAAAAAACUGUAACCAAGGAUCUGCAGCUUGCAGGGUCUCCCACCAGAACUGGUGGAGUAGAAGCCUUCAGUCCGUCCAGUAGCAUCUACUAACAAUUGUUGAUACUAGAGAGGCACCUAGUGGCCAAUGUGAAGCAUAGCAGGAGAGCCAAAUUAAAAUGAGAAACAAUUGUUCCUUAUACACUGCGUCUGCUUUCAGAAGAAUUAUUCUAAGAGACAUCAGAUCAAUAAAACAGUAUGCAUACAUUGUUGAGAAAUAAGAAAGGAAAUUGAAGACACAAGAAAAGCUGUAGUAUUUGAAGAGUUUAAAAGUUUGAAGGAUGAAAAUUCUAACAUUAGGACUUGGGCUUUGUGCUAACCUCCAACAAUUCUGUUCUUUAGUUCAAAAACAUUAUUUGUGAAAGAUUUAUUUUGGCUGCAGCUACUGUAUGUUUUCAUCACUAAUUUAGUUUGAUAACUGUUUUGCCAUUUAUGUUAAGAAAUACCAGAAAGUAGUGAAGUAAAAACAACACAUUCUCACAUUUGAGCAGCUGCAAUCAAACAAAGGUUUGGCACAAAAGCUCAAUAAAAAAAAAAAAAUAGAAAAUUAAAUUGGGUCACUGUCAUUCAUGAAAGUAUCGCUUAAAAACUGAGUUUGAAAACAUUGUUUGAAUAUGAAAAGAGCAUGUCUAGUGUUAUCAUGUACUUUUUUGUGCCAGUGUCAGUAUUUAUUCUAAUUUAAAAAUUUUCUUUUAAAUGAACCAACAAAUGUGUGCAAAUAUGGAAAGGGUUGUGGUAGCCCAAAAAACAACUUUUUUUUUUAAAACCUGGAACAGAAACGCAGCAUUCGUAAAGCUUUAAUCACACAUGUCCAUCUGGUUAGUUUUCAAUUUAUUGAAAUCACAUACCAUCAUAUAUGCAUCUAAUACAGAUCAUUGAGCAAUUCAUUGACCAACAAAGUAGAGCUCUCUCUAUAGGCAAGCUUGACUUACAUAUAUGAGGUUAAGUAUUUCCAAAAGAAUAUAUAUACUUUGUUAAAGACGCAUAAACAUAAUAUUAGUCGUCUGUUGCAGUUUUCUAUUUAUUUAAACACCCCUAAAGAAUGUGUUAAAGUGUUAAAUCCUCACAGAGACUGAAAAGGUUAAUGACAGGGUUGAUAAACUGCUGCAGGCGGCAGAAACAUGCCGUCCAGCAGCUUUUUUCUGAUUCCUGACACAUCCCAAAUGAUCCCAUUCUCCGAGAAAAGAAACCAUAAUGACUGCUCUCCCGUCCUCUCUGCUGUUGUUAUCUGCCAUGCAGCACAUUCCUCCUCAUCAUUUUACUCUGUAAAAUUGGAUUUUUACAUAACUCGAUUAGCUCCAUCCGUCCUGCUCUAUUCGUCUCCUGCUAUGUGGCACAGGCGCGAAAAAAAAUUCCAUUCUGUGUGUGAAAUAGUUUGUGCCGAAUGGAGACUGAAGUGUUAUUUUCUCUUUCUCUUGCAGAGGGGUUGUACUACCGGAUUUCAUUUGUGGUGGAGGACGAGGACUCGAUGCUGACCCGGGAUGAUGUCGAGCUAGCAGUGGCUCUCUGGCUGAAUCAAACAUUUCAGAACUGGACCCACACUGUC
Acanthochromis polyacanthus (spiny chromis) is the source of this 7910-nucleotide RNA transcript. It is a transcript of the gene named adhesion G protein-coupled receptor G6, with no coding region annotated. The transcript has 2 exons. Lineage: Eukaryota; Metazoa; Chordata; Actinopteri; Pomacentridae. The record is from RefSeq and is a predicted model, not a curated record.